UACGGAGGGUGCGAGCGUUGUCCGGAAUCACUGGGCGUAAAGGGCGCGUAGGUGGCAGCGUAAGCGUGUGGUGAAAGCUCGGGGCUCAACCCUGAGUCGGCCAUGCGAACUGCGUUGCUUGAGCACUGUAGAGGCAGACGGAAUUCCGGGUGUAGCGGUGGAAUGCGUAGAGAUCCGGAAGAACACCGGUGGCGAAGGCGGUCUGCUGGGCAGUUGCUGACACUGAGGCGCGACAGCGUGGGGAGCAAACAGG
This 253-nucleotide ribosomal RNA is filed under the name uncultured Gemmatimonas sp. Its description in RNAcentral is "partial 16S ribosomal RNA". It matches the Rfam family "Bacterial small subunit ribosomal RNA", at positions 524 to 776 of the family's 1533-position model. Lineage: Bacteria; Pseudomonadati; Gemmatimonadota; Gemmatimonadia; Gemmatimonadales; Gemmatimonadaceae. The record is from RNAcentral.